GAUUAGUGGCGAACGGGUGAGUAACACGUGGGCAAUCUGCCCUGCACUCUGGGACAAGCCCUGGAAACGGGGUCUAAUACCGGAUAUGAGGGCCAUGGGCAUCCAUGGUUCUGUAAAGCUCCGGCGGUGCAGGAUGAGCCCGCGGCCUAUCAGCUUGUUGGUGAGGUAACGGCUCACCAAGGCGACGACGGGUAGCCGGCCUGAGAGGGCGACCGGCCACACUGGGACUGAGACACGGCCCAGACUCCUACGGGAGGCAGCAGUGGGGAAUAUUGCACAAUGGGCGAAAGCCUGAUGCAGCGACGCCGCGUGAGGGAUGACGGCCUUCGGGUUGUAAACCUCUUUCAGCAGGGAAGAAGCGAAAGUGACGGUACCUGCAGAAGAAGCGCCGGCUAACUACGUGCCAGCAGCCGCGGUAAUACGUAGGGCGCAAGCGUUGUCCGGAAUUAUUGGGCGUAAAGAGCUCGUAGGCGGCUUGUCACGUCGGAUGUGAAAGCCCGGGGCUUAACCCCGGGUCUGCAUUCGAUACGGGCAGGCUAGAGUUCGGUAGGGGAGAUCGGAAUUCCUGGUGUAGCGGUGAAAUGCGCAGAUAUCAGGAGGAACACCGGUGGCGAAGGCGGAUCUCUGGGCCGAUACUGACGCUGAGGAGCGAAAGCGUGGGGAGCGAACAGGAUUAGAUACCCUGGUAGUCCACGCCGUAAACGGUGGGCACUAGGUGUGGGCGACAUUCCACGUCGUCCGUGCCGCAGCUAACGCAUUAAGUGCCCCGCCUGGGGAGUACGGCCGCAACGCUAAAACUCAAGGAAUUGACGGG
RNAcentral lists this ribosomal RNA (814 nucleotides) under Streptomyces sp. RNAcentral describes it as "bacterial SSU rRNA". It matches the Rfam family "Bacterial small subunit ribosomal RNA", at positions 90 to 917 of the family's 1533-position model. Lineage: Bacteria; Bacillati; Actinomycetota; Actinomycetes; Kitasatosporales; Streptomycetaceae. The record is from RNAcentral.